ACGCUGGCGGCAUGCUUUACACAUGCAAGUCGGACGGCAGCACAGAGAAGCUUGCUUCUUGGGUGGCGAGUGGCGAACGGGUGAGUAAUAUAUCGGAACGUACCGAGUAAUGGGGGAUAACUAAUCGAAAGAUUAGCUAAUACCGCAUAUUCUCUGAGGAGGAAAGCAGGGGACCUUCGGGCCUUGCGUUAUUCGAGCGGCCGAUAUCUGAUUAGCUAGUUGGUGGGGUAAAGGCCUACCAAGGCGACGAUCAGUAGCGGGUCUGAGAGGAUGAUCCGCCACACUGGGACUGAGACACGGCCCAGACUCCUACGGGAGGCAGCAGUGGGGAAUUUUGGACCAUGGGCGCAAGCCUGAUCCAGCCAUGCCGCGUGUCUGAAGAAGGCCUUCGGGUUGUAAAGGACUUUUGUCAGGGAAGAAAAGGCUGUUGCUAAUACCGACAGCUGAUGACGGUACCUGAAGAAUAAGCACCGGCUAACUACGUGCCAGCAGCCGCGGUAAUACGUAGGGUGCGAGCGUUAAUCGGAAUUACUGGGCGUAAAGCGAGCGCAGACGGUUACUUAAGCAGGAUGUGAAAUCCCGGGCUCAACCUGGGAACUGCGUUCUGAACUGGGUGACUAGAGUGUGUCAGAGGGAGGUAGAAUUCCACGUGUAGCAGUGAAAUGCGUAGAGAUGUGGAGGAAUACCGAUGGCGAAGGCAGCCUCCUGGGAUAACACUGACGUUCAUGCUCGAAAGCGUGGGUAGCAAACAGGAUUAGAUACCCUGGUAGUCCACGCCCUAAACGAUGUCAAUUAGCUGUUGGGCAACUUGAUUGCUUAGUAGCGUAGCUAACGCGUGAAAUUGACCGCCUGGGGAGUACGGUCGCAAGAUUAAAACUCAAACGAAUUGACGGGGACCCGCACAAGCGGUGGAUGAUG
This 918-nucleotide ribosomal RNA is filed under the name uncultured bacterium. RNAcentral describes it as "bacterial SSU rRNA". It matches the Rfam family "Bacterial small subunit ribosomal RNA", at positions 33 to 941 of the family's 1533-position model. The record is from RNAcentral.